CACGUAGGGCGCAAGCGUUGUCCGGAAUUAUUGGGCGUAAAGAGCUCGUAGGCGGUCUGUUACGUCUGCUGUGAAAACCCAGGGCUUAACCCUGGGCUUGCAGUGGAUACGGGCAGACUAGAGGCAGGUAGGGGAGAAUGGAAUUCCAGGUGUAGCGGUGAAAUGCGUAGAUAUCUGGAGGAACACCGGUGGCGAAGGCGGCAUCCUGGACCAACACUGACACUGAAAAGCGAAAGCCAGGGGAGCAAACGGG
RNAcentral lists this ribosomal RNA (253 nucleotides) under uncultured bacterium. RNAcentral describes it as "partial 16S ribosomal RNA". It matches the Rfam family "Bacterial small subunit ribosomal RNA", at positions 524 to 776 of the family's 1533-position model. The record is from RNAcentral.